This 397-nucleotide ribosomal RNA is filed under the name Sternaspis sendalli. RNAcentral describes it as "partial 16S ribosomal RNA". It matches the Rfam family "Bacterial large subunit ribosomal RNA", at positions 2007 to 2619 of the family's 2925-position model. The record is from RNAcentral. Lineage: Eukaryota; Metazoa; Annelida; Polychaeta; Terebellida; Sternaspidae.
AGAAUUCCCCUGUCUCUAUAAAGCCAAUGAAAAUUAAUCUUCAGGUGAAGAAGCCUGAAUCUCAUUAAAAGACAAAAAGACCCUAUUGAGCUUACAUUCAAUCUCUAAAAUAUUAAAAUAAAAUAAAACUACCCUUUUUACAAGAAUUUUGCUGGGGCGGCAAAGGAACAACCAAAAAUUCCUUUUCUCAAAGACUUAUAAGUCUAUUAACUGAUCCGUAUUAACGAUUAACAAAACUAGUUACCAUAGGGAUAACAGGCUAAUUUUUCUCUAAAGCUCACAUUAACAGAAAAGAUUGGCACCUCGAUGUUGGCUUAGGAUAUCCUAAGGGCGCAGAAGCCUUUUAAGGUGGGUUUGUUCAACCUUUAAAAUCCUACGUGAUCUGAGUUCAGACCGG